AUUCUUUCGCAGUGGCAAUAUCGUAACCUAUGAGGUUAAUCUGAGGUGCGAUUAUUGCUGGUUGAAAACUUUAACCCAAUACCCGCCUUCAUGAUUUGAAAUAUAGUCAGCAAUGGCAAUUUUUGCCGGUCUCUACGGAGA
This is a small nuclear RNA of 141 nucleotides. Its record names the gene U4. It matches the Rfam family "U4 spliceosomal RNA". Rfam says of the family: U4 small nuclear RNA (U4 snRNA) is a component of the major U2-dependent spliceosome. The structure of U4 snRNA from yeast and human has been reported. The record is from Ensembl.